GACGAACGCUGGCGGCGUGCUUAACACAUGCAAGUCGAGGGCACUAUUGGGGCAACCUGGUAGUGACCGGCGAACGGGUGCGUAACACGUGAGCGACCUUGCCUCGUGGUGGGGGAUAGCCGGCCCAACGGCCGGGUAAUACCGCAUAUGGUAGUUUCUUCGCAUGAGGAGACUAGCAAAGCCUUGGAGCAAUCCAAUGGCGCCACAGGGGGGC
Molecule: ribosomal RNA, 214 nt
Filed under: uncultured bacterium
Lineage: Bacteria
Description: partial 16S ribosomal RNA
Rfam family: Bacterial small subunit ribosomal RNA
Source: RNAcentral